This 290-nucleotide small RNA is filed under the name Loktanella sp. S4079. RNAcentral describes it as "5' ureB small RNA". It matches the Rfam family "5' ureB small RNA". Lineage: Bacteria; Pseudomonadati; Pseudomonadota; Alphaproteobacteria; Rhodobacterales; Roseobacteraceae. The record is from Rfam by way of RNAcentral.
CAUCUUCGAUCUGCUGCGGACAGAUAAAGUGGAUAUGGCUAUCAAUCCCACCCGCUGUGAGAAUGCGACCUUCGCCAGCAAUCGCCUCGGUGCCUGGGCCAACAAUAAUAUUAACGCCGGGCUGUGUAUCUGGGUUACCUGCCUUUCCGAUGGCAACAAUUACACCGUCCUUUAGACCGACAUCAGCCUUAAUGAUGCCCUUCCAAUCCACGAUCAGAGCAUUGGUAAUAACGGUAUCAACAGCGCCCUCAGCACGGGCCGCUUGGCUUUGGCCCAUACCGUCGCGGAUG